CUGAGUACGGCGGAACACGUGAAAUUCCGUCGGAAUCCGGGAGGACCAUCUCCCAAGGCUAAAUACUCCCUAGUGACCGAUAGUGAACCAGUACCGUGAGGGAAAGGUGAAAAGCACCCCGGAAGGGGAGUGAAACAGUUCCUGAAACCGUGUGCCUACAAGUAGUUAGAGCCCGUUAAUGGGUGAUAGCGUGCCUUUUGUAGAAUGAACCGGCGAGUUACGAUUUGUUGCAAGGUUAAGCGGAAAAAGCGGAGCCGUAGCGAAAGCGAGUCUGAAUAGGGCGCAUAAGUAACAGGUCGUAGACCCGAAACCAGGUGAUCUACCCAUGUCCAGGAUGAAGGUAAGGUAAUACUUACUGGAGGUCCGAACCCACGCACGUUGAAAAGUGCGGGGAUGAGGUGUGGGUAGCGGAGAAAUUCCAAUCGAACUUGGAGAUAGCUGGUUCUCUCCGAAAUAGCUUUAGGGCUAGCCUCGAGGUAAAGAGUCAUGGAGGUAGAGCACUGUUUGGACUAGGGGCCCUUCUCGGGUUACCGAAUUCAGAUAAACUCCGAAUGCCAUGUACUUAUACUCGGGAGUCAGACUGCGAGUGAUAAGAUCCGUAGUCGAAAGGGAAACAGCCCAGACCACCAGUUAAGGUCCCCAAAUAUAUGUUAAGUGGAAAAGGAUGUGGGGUUGCUUAGACAACCAGGAUGUUGGCUUAGAAGCAGCCACCAUUGAAAGAGUGCGUAAUAGCUCACUGGUCGAGUGACCCCGCGCCGAAAAUGUACCGGGGCUAAACAUAUUACCGAAACUGUGGAUGAACCUCUUUAGAGGUUCGUGGUAGGAGAGCGUUCUAAGGGCGGUGAAGUCAGACCGGAAGGACUGGUGGAGCGCUUAGAAGUGAGAAUGCCGGUAUGAGUAGCGAAAGAAGGGUGAGAAUCCCUUCCACCGAAUAUCUAAGGUUUCCUGAGGAAGGCUCGUCCGCUCAGGGUUAGUCGGGACCUAAGCCGAGGCCGAUAGGCGUAGGCGAUGGACAACAGGUAGAGAUUCCUGUACCAGUGCUAAUUGUUUAACCGAUGGGGUGACACAGAAGGAUAGGGAAUCGCACGAAUGGAAAUGUGCGUCCAAGCAGUGAGUGUGAGAAGUAGGCAAAUCCGCUUCUCGCGAAGCAUGAGCUGUGAUGGGGAAGGAAAUUAAGUACGGAAGUUCCUGAUUUCACGCUGUCAAGAAAAGCCUCUAGGAAGAGUAGUACUGCCCGUACCGCAAACCGACACAGGUAGAUGAGGAGAGAAUCCUAAGGUGAGCGAGAGAACUCUCGUUAAGGAACUCGGCAAAAUGACCCCGUAACUUCGGGAGAAGGGGUGCUCUAUUAGGGUGCAAGCCCGAGAGAGCCGCAGUGAAUAGGCCCAGGCGACUGUUUAGCAAAAACACAGGUCUCUGCAAAACCGUAAGGUGACGUAUAGGGGCUGACGCCUGCCCGGUGCUGGAAGGUUAAGAGGAGUGCUUAGCUUCGGCGAAGGUACGAAUUGAAGCCCCAGUAAACGGCGGCCGUAACUAUAACGGUCCUAAGGUAGCGAAAUUCCUUGUCGGGUAAGUUCCGACCCGCACGAAAGGCGCAACGAUCUGGGCACUGUCUCAACGAGAGACUCGGUGAAAUUAUAGUACCUGUGAAGAUGCAGGUUACCCGCGACAGGACGGAAAGACCCCGUGGAGCUUUACUGCAACCUGAUAUGGAAUGUUUGUACCGCUUGUACAGGAUAGGUAGGAGCCGAAGAGACGUGUGCGCUAGCAUACGAGGAGGCAAUGGUGGGAUACUACCCUGGCUGUAUGACCAUUCUAACCCGCCACGCUUAGCGCGUGGGGAGACAGUGUCAGGUGGGCAGUUUGACUGGGGCGGUCGCCUCCUAAAGAGUAACGGAGGCGCCCAAAGGUUCCCUCAGAAUGGAUGGAAAUCAUUCGCAGAGUGUAAAGGCACAAGGGAGCUUGACUGCGAGACUGACAAGUCGAGCAGGGACGAAAGUCGGGCUUAGUGAUCCGGUGGUUCCGCAUGGAAGGGCCAUCGCUCAACGGAUAAAAGCUACCCCGGGGAUAACAGGCUUAUCUCCCCCAAGAGUCCACAUCGACGGGGAGGUUUGGCACCUCGAUGUCGGCUCGUCGCAUCCUGGGGCUGUAGUCGGUCCCAAGGGUUGGGCUGUUCGCCCAUUAAAGCGGCACGCGAGCUGGGUUCAGAACGUCGUGAGACAGUUCGGUCCCUAUCCGUCGCGGGCGCAGGAAAUUUGAGAGGAGCUGUCCUUAGUACGAGAGGACCGGGAUGGACACACCGCUGGUGUACCAGUUGUUCCGCCAGGAGCAUCGCUGGGUAGCUAUGUGUGGCAGGGAUAAACGCUGAAAGCAUCUAAGCGUGAAGCCCCCCUCAAGAUGAGAUUUCCCAUUUCUUCGGAAAGUAAGAUCCCUGAAAGAUGAUCAGGUAGAUAGGUUUGGAGUGGAAGUGUAGCGAUACAUGGAG
This 2485-nucleotide ribosomal RNA is filed under the name Listeria monocytogenes. Its description in RNAcentral is "partial 23S ribosomal RNA". It matches the Rfam family "Bacterial large subunit ribosomal RNA", at positions 408 to 2890 of the family's 2925-position model. Lineage: Bacteria; Bacillati; Bacillota; Bacilli; Caryophanales; Listeriaceae. The record is from RNAcentral.